AUACGGAGGAUCCGAGCGUUAUCCGGAUUUAUUGGGUUUAAAGGGUGCGCAGGCGGCCAUUUAAGUCAGCGGUUAAAUCGUGGGGCUCAACCCCAUUCUGCCGUUGAUACUGGGUGGCUUGAUUGCGGUCGAGGUUGGCGGAAUUCGUUGUGUAGCGGGGCAAUGCAUAGAUAUGACGAAGAACACCGAUUGCGUAGGCAGCUGACCAGACCGCAAAUGACGCUCAUGCACGAAAGUGCGGGGAUCGAACAGGAUUAGAUACCCUGGUAGUCCGCACAGUAAACGAUGAAUACUUGUUUUCGGCGAUAUAAUGUCGGAGGCAAAGCGAAAGCGAUAAGUAUUCCACCUGGGGAGUACGCCGGCAACGGUGAAACUCAAAGGAAUUGACGGGG
This 392-nucleotide ribosomal RNA is filed under the name uncultured bacterium. RNAcentral describes it as "partial 16S ribosomal RNA". It matches the Rfam family "Bacterial small subunit ribosomal RNA", at positions 523 to 918 of the family's 1533-position model. The record is from RNAcentral.